Molecule: ribosomal RNA, 137 nt
Organism: Ochotona princeps (American pika)
Lineage: Eukaryota; Metazoa; Chordata; Mammalia; Lagomorpha; Ochotonidae
Source: Ensembl
AUCUACAGCCAUACCACCCUGAACGCGCCCGAGCUCGUCUGAUCUCGGAAGCUAAGCAGGGUCGGGCCUGGUUAGUACUUGGAUGGGAGGAUUUAUGAGGCAUCACACCUAGUUAGUAAGCAGAACUGGCGUUGAAC